UUGAACGCUGGCGGCAUGCCUUACACAUGCAAGUCGAACGGUAACGGGUCUUCGGAUGCUGACGAGUGGCGAACGGGUGAGUAAUACAUCGGAACGUGCCCGAUCGUGGGGGAUAACGCAGCGAAAGCUGUGCUAAUACCGCAUACGAUCUACGGAUGAAAGCAGGGGACCGCAAGGCCUUGCGCGGACGGAGCGGCCGAUGGCAGAUUAGGUAGUUGGUGGGAUAAAAGCUUACCGAGCCGACGAUCUGUAGCUGGUCUGAGAGGACGAACAGCCACACUGGGACUGAGACACGGCCCAGACUCCUACGGGAGGCAGCAGUGGGGAAUUUUGGACAAUGGGGGAAACCCUGAUCCAGCCAUGCCGCGUGCAGGAUGAAGGCCUUCGGGUUGUAAACUGCUUUUGUACGGAACGAAAAGAUCUCUUCUAAUAAAGGGGGUUCAUGACGGUACCGUAAGAAUAAGCACCGGCUAACUAC
RNAcentral lists this ribosomal RNA (478 nucleotides) under uncultured bacterium. Its description in RNAcentral is "bacterial SSU rRNA". It matches the Rfam family "Bacterial small subunit ribosomal RNA", at positions 30 to 504 of the family's 1533-position model. The record is from RNAcentral.